UAGACCCGAAACCAGGUGAUCUACCCUUGGUCAGGUUGAAGUUCAGGUAACACUGAAUGGAGGACCGAACCGACUUACGUUGAAAAGUGAGCGGAUGAACUGAGGGUAGCGGAGAAAUUCCAAUCGAACCUGGAGAUAGCUGGUUCUCUCCGAAAUAGCUUUAGGGCUAGCCUCAAGUGAUGAUUAUUGGAGGUAGAGCACUGUUUGGACGAGGGGCCCCUCUCGGGUUACCGAAUUCAGACAAACUCCGAAUGCCAAUUAAUUUAACUUGGGAGUCAGAACAUGGGUGAUAAGGUCCGUGUUCGAAAGGGAAACAGCCCAGACCACCAGCUAAGGUCCCAAAAUAUAUGUUAAGUGGAAAAGGAUGUGGCGUUGCCCAGACAACUAGGAUGUUGGCUUAGAAGCAGCCAUCAUUUAAAGAGUGCGUAAUAGCUUACUAGUCGAGUGACACUGCGCCGAAAAUGUACCGGGGCUAAACAUAUUACCGAAGCUGUGGAUUGUCCUUUGGACAAUGGUAGGAGAGCGUUCUAAGGGCGUUGAAGCAUGAUCGUAAGGACAUGUGGAGCGCUUAGAAGUGAGAAUGCCGGUGUGAGUAGCGAAAGACGGGUGAGAAUCCCGUCCACCGAUUGACCAAGGUUUCCAGAGGAAGGCUCGUCCGCUCUGGGUUAGUCGGGUCCUAAGCUGAGGCCGACAGGCGUAAGCGAUGGAUAACAGGUUGAUAUUCCUGUACCACCUAUAAUCGUUUUAAUCGAUGGGGGGGACGCAGUAGGAUAGGCGAAGCGUGCGAUUGGAUUGCACGUCUAAGCAGUAAGGCUGAGUAUUAGGCAAAUCCGGUACUCGUUAAGGCUGAGCUGUGAUGGGGAGAAGACAUUGUGUCUUCGAGUCGUUGAUUUCACACUGCCGAGAAAAGCCUCUAGAUAGAAAAUAGGUGCCCGUACCGCAAACCGACACAGGUAGUCAAGAUGAGAAUUCUAAGGUGAGCGAGCGAACUCUCGUUAAGGAACUCGGCAAAAUGACCCCGUAACUUCGGGAGAAGGGGUGCUCUUUAGGGUUAACGCCCAGAAGAGCCGCAGUGAAUAGGCCCAAGCGACUGUUUAUCAAAAACACAGGUCUCUGCUAAACCGUAAGGUGAUGUAUAGGGGCUGACGCCUGCCCGGUGCUGGAAGGUUAAGAGGAGUGGUUAGCUUCUGCGAAGCUACGAAUCGAAGCCCCAGUAAACGGCGGCCGUAACUAUAACGGUCCUAAGGUAGCGAAAUUCCUUGUCGGGUAAGUUCCGACCCGCACGAAAGGCGUAACGAUUUGGGCACUGUCUCAACGAGAGACUCGGUGAAAUCAUAGUACCUGUGAAGAUGCAGGUUACCCGCGACAGGACGGAAAGACCCCGUGGAGCUUUACUGUAGCCUGAUAUUGAAAUUCGGCACAGCUUGUACAGGAUAGGUAGGAGCCUUUGAAACGUGAGCGCUAGCUUACGUGGAGGCGCUGGUGGGAUACUACCCUAGCUGUGUUGGCUUUCUAACCCGCACCACUUAUCGUGGUGGGAGACAGUGUCAGGCGGGCAGUUUGACUGGGGCGGUCGCCUCCUAAAAGGUAACGGAGGCGCUCAAAGGUUCCCUCAGAAUGGUUGGAAAUCAUUCAUAGAGUGUAAAGGCAUAAGGGAGCUUGACUGCGAGACCUACAAGUCGAGCAGGGUCGAAAGACGGACUUAGUGAUCCGGUGGUUCCGCAUGGAAGGGCCAUCGCUCAACGGAUAAAAGCUACCCCGGGGAUAACAGGCUUAUCUCCCCCAAGAGUUCACAUCGACGGGGAGGUUUGGCACCUCGAUGUCGGCUCAUCGCAUCCUGGGGCUGUAGUCGGUCCCAAGGGUUGGGCUGUUCGCCCAUUAAAGCGGUACGCGAGCUGGGUUCAGAACGUCGUGAGACAGUUCGGUCCCUAUCCGUCGUGGGCGUAGGAAAUUUGAGAGGAGCUGUCCUUAGUACGAGAGGACCGGGAUGGACAUACCUCUGGUGUACCAGUUGUCGUGCCAACGGCAUAGCUGGGUAGCUAUGUGUGGACGGGAUAAGUGCUGAAAGCAUCUAAGCAUGAAGCCCCCCUCAAGAUGAGAUUUCCCAACUUCGGUUAUAAGAUCCCUCAAAGAUGAUGAGGUUAAUAGGUUCGAGGUGGAAGCAUGGUGACAUGUGGAGCUGACGAAUACUAAUCGAUCGAAGACUUAAUCAA
This 2213-nucleotide ribosomal RNA is filed under the name Staphylococcus aureus. RNAcentral's name for it is "bacterial LSU rRNA". It matches the Rfam family "Bacterial large subunit ribosomal RNA", at positions 710 to 2925 of the family's 2925-position model. The record is from RNAcentral. Lineage: Bacteria; Bacillati; Bacillota; Bacilli; Caryophanales; Staphylococcaceae.